Oncorhynchus keta (chum salmon) is the source of this 827-nucleotide long non-coding RNA. RefSeq lists it as uncharacterized. Lineage: Eukaryota; Metazoa; Chordata; Actinopteri; Salmoniformes; Salmonidae. The record is from RefSeq and is a predicted model, not a curated record. The transcript has 2 exons.
AAAAUAUCACUGAAGUUUGUUGCUGUUUUCUAAGUGUUGACCUGUAGUAAUGGAUGUUGUAUCAGUCUAUUGAGGUGCUUUGCUCUUUUACUGAGCAUCUUCAUACAGUGAUAAAUACUGACUAUUGUAGACUUACUAGUGGCUGAGGGUCAUAACAAUAGGAGAAGCUUAACAUGAGUUUCAUAAAGGAUGUUACCUCGGACCACAGAGGGUGUCCUUUACAGUAUCUUGUAAUAGUGCCAUGUCAAUUAAGGACCCAGCUGUCAACAUAUUGUACGAAUUACCAUUAGUUUAUUAUAAUACCAAUUUGAUGGACAUCCACAAAUUAAUACAUACCAUACAAAACAUAUCAUACUAAUUGGAGUAUUCCCGAAUAUACUUUUACUAUGUUUACGUCUACUCUUCCAGGUUGUUCUAAGUGACCAUAUUUUAGUAGAAGAGCAAACAGGAUUAAAGUUGAAAUCGUCAAAUAAUUGUCUUAAUUUCUCUAUGUAAUGUUCAACCCCGAGAACCUGUGUUAAGUUGUUAAAUUCUUGACCGGGUCCAUCAUGUGACCAGCUGCACAAAGUUAUGAACAGUAAGUAAUACUGUAAAUGGUUAACCAUUACAUAACUCUUUCUAUUUAAGUUCUGAAGGGUGACAGUGUUUUUCGUCUAAUCUUUCCCCCUUCCCCUCUCUCCCUAUUGCUCCCUCCCACUAUUUUUACCAGGGGCGCAACAUUGGUUUUAGUUGUGGGGGGACAUAUAUAUUAAUAUUUUGGAUGGGUUGAAUAAACACUGCAAACAGCGUUCCCGACUGCUCGGUGAGAUCUGCACAGUCCAAAAGCA